This 2302-nucleotide ribosomal RNA is filed under the name Klebsiella pneumoniae BIDMC 4. Its description in RNAcentral is "bacterial LSU rRNA". It matches the Rfam family "Bacterial large subunit ribosomal RNA", at positions 1 to 2332 of the family's 2925-position model. Lineage: Bacteria; Pseudomonadati; Pseudomonadota; Gammaproteobacteria; Enterobacterales; Enterobacteriaceae. RNAcentral also lists the same sequence under 8 other names. The record is from RNAcentral.
UUAAGCGACUAAGCGUACACGGUGGAUGCCCUGGCAGUCAGAGGCGAUGAAGGACGUGCUAAUCUGCGAAAAGCGUCGGUAAGGUGAUAUGAACCGUUAUAACCGGCGAUGUCCGAAUGGGGAAACCCAGUGCAAUUCGUUGCACUAUCGUUAACUGAAUACAUAGGUUAACGAGGCGAACCGGGGGAACUGAAACAUCUAAGUACCCCGAGGAAAAGAAAUCAACCGAGAUUCCCCCAGUAGCGGCGAGCGAACGGGGAGCAGCCCAGAGUCUGAAUCAGCUUGUGUGUUAGUGGAACGGUCUGGAAAGUCCGACGGUACAGGGUGAUAGUCCCGUACACCAAAAUGCACAGGCUGUGAACUCGAAGAGUAGGGCGGGACACGUGGUAUCCUGUCUGAAUAUGGGGGGACCAUCCUCCAAGGCUAAAUACUCCUGACUGACCGAUAGUGAACCAGUACCGUGAGGGAAAGGCGAAAAGAACCCCGGCGAGGGGAGUGAAAAAGAACCUGAAACCGUGUACGUACAAGCAGUGGGAGCACCUUCGGGUGUGACUGCGUACCUUUUGUAUAAUGGGUCAGCGACUUAUAUUCUGUAGCAAGGUUAACCGUAUAGGGGAGCCGCAGGGAAACCGAGUCUUAACUGGGCGUUAAGUUGCAGGGUAUAGACCCGAAACCCGGUGAUCUAGCCAUGGGCAGGUUGAAGGUUGGGUAACACUAACUGGAGGACCGAACCGACUAAUGUUGAAAAAUUAGCGGAUGACUUGUGGCUGGGGGUGAAAGGCCAAUCAAACCGGGAGAUAGCUGGUUCUCCCCGAAAGCUAUUUAGGUAGCGCCUCGUGAACUCAUCUUCGGGGGUAGAGCACUGUUUCGGCUAGGGGGUCAUCCCGACUUACCAACCCGAUGCAAACUACGAAUACCGAAGAAUGUUAUCACGGGAGACACACGGCGGGUGCUAACGUCCGUCGUGAAGAGGGAAACAACCCAGACCGCCAGCUAAGGUCCCAAAGUCAUGGUUAAGUGGGAAACGAUGUGGGAAGGCACAGACAGCCAGGAUGUUGGCUUAGAAGCAGCCAUCAUUUAAAGAAAGCGUAAUAGCUCACUGGUCGAGUCGGCCUGCGCGGAAGAUGUAACGGGGCUAAACCAUGCACCGAAGCUGCGGCAGCGACACUAUGUGUUGUUGGGUAGGGGAGCGUUCUGUAAGCCUGCGAAGGUGUGCUGUGAGGCAUGCUGGAGGUAUCAGAAGUGCGAAUGCUGACAUAAGUAACGAUAAAGCGGGUGAAAAGCCCGCUCGCCGGAAGACCAAGGGUUCCUGUCCAACGUUAAUCGGGGCAGGGUGAGUCGACCCCUAAGGCGAGGCCGAAAGGCGUAGUCGAUGGGAAACAGGUUAAUAUUCCUGUACUUGGUGUUACUGCGAAGGGGGGACGGAGAAGGCUAUGUUAGCCGGGCGACGGUUGUCCCGGUUUAAGCAUGUAGGCUGAUUGUCCAGGCAAAUCCGGAUAAUCAAGGCUGAGGUGUGAUGACGAGGCACUACGGUGCUGAAGUAACAAAUGCCCUGCUUCCAGGAAAAGCCUCUAAGCAUCAGGUAACAUCAAAUCGUACCCCAAACCGACACAGGUGGUCAGGUAGAGAAUACCAAGGCGCUUGAGAGAACUCGGGUGAAGGAACUAGGCAAAAUGGUGCCGUAACUUCGGGAGAAGGCACGCUGGUGUGUAGGUGAAGUCCCUGCGGAUGGAGCUGAGACCAGUCGAAGAUACCAGCUGGCUGCAACUGUUUAUUAAAAACACAGCACUGUGCAAACACGAAAGUGGACGUAUACGGUGUGACGCCUGCCCGGUGCCGGAAGGUUAAUUGAUGGGGUUAUCCGUAAGGAGAAGCUCUUGAUCGAAGCCCCGGUAAACGGCGGCCGUAACUAUAACGGUCCUAAGGUAGCGAAAUUCCUUGUCGGGUAAGUUCCGACCUGCACGAAUGGCGUAAUGAUGGCCAGGCUGUCUCCACCCGAGACUCAGUGAAAUUGAACUCGCUGUGAAGAUGCAGUGUACCCGCGGCAAGACGGAAAGACCCCGUGAACCUUUACUAUAGCUUGACACUGAACAUUGAGCCUUGAUGUGUAGGAUAGGUGGGAGGCUUUGAAGCGUGGACGCCAGUCUGCGUGGAGCCAACCUUGAAAUACCACCCUUUAAUGUUUGAUGUUCUAACGUUGGCCCCUGACCGGGGUUGCGGACAGUGUCUGGUGGGUAGUUUGACUGGGGCGGUCUCCUCCCAAAGCGUAACGGAGGAGCACGAAGGUUAGCUAAUCCUGGUC